UGCAGUCGAGCGGUAGAGAGGUGCUUGCACCUCUUGAGAGCGGCGGACGGGUGAGUAAAGCCUAGGAAUCUGCCUGGUAGUGGGGGAUAACGCUCGGAAACGGACGCUAAUACCGCAUACGUCCUACGGGAGAAAGCAGGGGACCUUCGGGCCUUGCGCUAUCAGAUGAGCCUAGGUCGGAUUAGCUAGUUGGUGAGGUAAUGGCUCACCAAGGCGACGAUCCGUAACUGGUCUGAGAGGAUGAUCAGUCACACUGGAACUGAGACACGGUCCAGACUCCUACGGGAGGCAGCAGUGGGGAAUAUUGGACAAUGGGCGAAAGCCUGAUCCAGCCAUGCCGCGUGUGUGAAGAAGGUCUUCGGAUUGUAAAGCACUUUAAGUUGGGAGGAAGGGCAUUAACCUAAUACGUUAGUGUUUUGACGUUACCGACAGAAUAAGCACCGGCUAACUCUGUGCCAGCAGCCGCGGUAAUACAGAGGGUGCAAGCGUUAAUCGGAAUUACUGGGCGUAAAGCGCGCGUAGGUGGUUCGUUAAGUUGGAUGUGAAAUCCCCGGGCUCAACCUGGGAACUGCAUUCAAAACUGUCGAGCUAGAGUAUGGUAGAGGGUGGUGGAAUUUCCUGUGUAGCGGUGAAAUGCGUAGAUAUAGGAAGGAACACCAGUGGCGAAGGCGACCACCUGGACUGAUACUGACACUGAGGUGCGAAAGCGUGGGGAGCAAACAGGAUUAGAUA
RNAcentral lists this ribosomal RNA (732 nucleotides) under uncultured bacterium. Its description in RNAcentral is "bacterial SSU rRNA". It matches the Rfam family "Bacterial small subunit ribosomal RNA", at positions 56 to 784 of the family's 1533-position model. The record is from RNAcentral.